UUAAACUAAAGAGUUUGAUCCUGGCUCAGAUUGAACGCUGGCGGCAUGCCUUACACAUGCAAGUCGAACGGCAGCACGGAGCUUGCUCUG
RNAcentral lists this ribosomal RNA (90 nucleotides) under Duganella sp. OV458. Its description in RNAcentral is "16S rRNA. Bacterial SSU". It matches the Rfam family "Bacterial small subunit ribosomal RNA", at positions 1 to 87 of the family's 1533-position model. Lineage: Bacteria; Pseudomonadati; Pseudomonadota; Betaproteobacteria; Burkholderiales; Oxalobacteraceae. The record is from RNAcentral.